RNAcentral lists this ribosomal RNA (85 nucleotides) under Oceanobacillus polygoni. RNAcentral's name for it is "partial 23S ribosomal RNA". It matches the Rfam family "Bacterial large subunit ribosomal RNA", at positions 2840 to 2925 of the family's 2925-position model. Lineage: Bacteria; Bacillati; Bacillota; Bacilli; Caryophanales; Bacillaceae. The record is from RNAcentral.
AGAGACGAUGAGGUUGAUAGGUUCGGUGUGGAAGCGUGGUGACACGUGAAGCUUACGGAUACUAAUCGAUCGAGGACUUAACUAA